CAUCCAUAUUCUGAGAUAUCAGCUAUUGAUGAUAUCAGAAACUGAGAACUGGGAAAUGCAAAAGCAGACACUCUGGGUCCUCACACUGGAUUGUGGCAGGCAGGGCAAGACCAACCCAGCCUCAACCAGCUGAGAGACUCCCAUCUCUCAGAGGAAGAGAAGCCCCACUCCCAUUCUGAGAACAACAAAUGAGGCUGAGGCAUUUCUUUGGGGGAA
Molecule: long non-coding RNA, 216 nt
Filed under: Bos taurus (domestic cattle)
Lineage: Eukaryota; Metazoa; Chordata; Mammalia; Artiodactyla; Bovidae
Description: long non-coding RNA NONBTAT005716
Source: RNAcentral